This 105-nucleotide small nucleolar RNA is filed under the name Zostera marina. RNAcentral's name for it is "Small nucleolar RNA Z266". It matches the Rfam family "Small nucleolar RNA Z266". Rfam says of the family: Z266 is a member of the C/D class of snoRNA which contain the C (UGAUGA) and D (CUGA) box motifs. Most of the members of the box C/D family function in directing site-specific 2'-O-methylation of substrate RNAs. The record is from Rfam by way of RNAcentral. Lineage: Eukaryota; Viridiplantae; Streptophyta; Magnoliopsida; Alismatales; Zosteraceae.
CAGUUACUGUGAUGAUGAAUCAAUUAGAUGUGUGAAAUGUGUGUUUUUCUCUCAUUAUGAACGAAAAAACAUUGAGGCAUUUACUAAGAUUCUGAACAUUUUUUA